AACGAACGCUGGCGGCAUGCCUAACACAUGCAAGUCGAACGAGACCUUCGGGUCUAGUGGCGCACGGGUGCGUAACGCGUGGGAACCUGCCCUUAGGUUCGGAAUAACUCCCCGAAAGGGGUGCUAAUACCGGAUAAUGUCUUCGGACCAAAGAUUUAUCGCCUUUGGAUGGGCCCGCGUUGGAUUAGCUAGUUGGUAGGGUAAAAGCCUACCAAGGCGACGAUCCAUAGCUGGUCUGAGAGGAUGAUCAGCCACACUGGGACUGAGACACGGCCCAGACUCCUACGGGAGGCAGCAGUGGGGAAUAUUGGAAAAUGGGCGAGAGCAUGAUCCAGCAAUGCCGCGUGAGUGAUGAAGGCCUUAGGGUUGUAAAGCUCUUUUACCCGGGAUGAUAAUGACAGUACCGGGAGAAUAAGCUCCGGCUAACUCCGUG
This 433-nucleotide ribosomal RNA is filed under the name uncultured bacterium. Its description in RNAcentral is "partial 16S ribosomal RNA". It matches the Rfam family "Bacterial small subunit ribosomal RNA", at positions 29 to 507 of the family's 1533-position model. The record is from RNAcentral.